AACUUUCAGCAACGGAUCUCUUGGCUCUCGCAUCGAUGAAGAACGCAGCGAAAUGCGAUAAGUAAUGUGAAUUGCAGAAUUCAGUGAAUCAUCGAAUCUUUGAACGCACCUUGCGCU
RNAcentral lists this ribosomal RNA (117 nucleotides) under Cortinarius diasemospermus. Its description in RNAcentral is "5.8S ribosomal RNA". It matches the Rfam family "5.8S ribosomal RNA", at positions 1 to 117 of the family's 154-position model. Rfam says of the family: 5.8S ribosomal RNA (5.8S rRNA) is a component of the large subunit of the eukaryotic ribosome. Lineage: Eukaryota; Fungi; Basidiomycota; Agaricomycetes; Agaricales; Cortinariaceae. The record is from RNAcentral.